CAAUGAGAAGGGGUGCGGGGACCAAGCGGCGGCAGCUGGAGCGCGGCGGCUGCGCGCGCGCGAGUGUGUGUGUAUGUGUUUGUGCAUGUAUGUGUGCAUGUGUGUGUGCAUGUGUGUGUAUGUGUGUGUGUAUGCGUGUGUGUGCCCCCCCGCCGAACGGGGAGUCAGGUGGGACACACACACACGCUCUCACGCAGCCCCCCCCCCCCUCUGUCUCUGCACUCCCUGCCCCUUCCCCGCUUUCCUCCUUUGCCUUCUUCCUUCCCUCGCUCCUUUAUUUAUUUCCAUGCCCGCUCCCCGCCGCUGCCCCUCGCAACCCCUCCCGGGCAGAGACCUCCGAAACGCGGUGGCGACCUCCCGGGACGGGGCCUUGCUGCAUAAGGGCACGCAGCCCCCGGGGUGGCCACCCCGUCAGGUUCCGCCGCGCCGCGCGUUGUCGGGAGCUGCGCAUCAGCCCCACACCCCGGUCUCGGCUGCUGUGUCACCUGGCACCAUGUGCUCCUCAACAGCGCUGUUUGAGAAUUGUCUUUAUUCGUGGAACUUCUCCGUGGAGAGGGACUUUUUUCUUUUGUUUUUUUAAGCCCUUCUUUCCCAUCUUUGCCACUGCACAAUUUGGAUGUGGAGUUCCUGGAAAGUGAACGCUGGCAAUGAGUGCAGCUUUCCCUGAAAGCUGAGGCUGCUGCUUAUUGCCUAUUGAGAAUAGAGGGGACCGUGGAUGUCAGCUCCAUCUUUUUUUUCUUUUUUUUUUUUUUUUUUUUUUUUUUUUUUUUUUUUCUUUUUUCUUUUAUUUUGACUUUCAGGCAUAUUUCCUCUUCCUGCUCUGGGAAUUGGCAGAUACAGUUCCUGUAGGCAACUUUGCAUCAAGACAGAGACUGUGGAGUCGAUACCUCAAUGCUUUUCUUAGCUGUGCACUUCUAUUAAUUGGUGUUAGAAAGUGCAACCUUGUAGCACAGUUAUUGAAUAAUCAUUAAUCUGUGGAGGAUACACAAGCCCAAAGGUUAAUAAUAACAAUUAAUAAUAGUGACUUUGCUAGCAGGGAGACUAUUUUCUCAUAGUUAUUAAAAGGCACUCCCAUUUAUGCUAUGUAUGGAGAGGUGAAUUUGGCCCUGGCGUGCUGUGUACCACAUUACUGCAGCAAGCCCACAGAUGAAUCCUUCCCAUUAUCUCCAUGCUGUCAGGCCUCUCACUUUUUCUCCCUUUAAAAUGUAUCAAGCACUGCUCUCAUUUUAAAUAGAAAUGCUCAAGCUUUAAUCAAUUCUGACAUUUCCACUGGAAAAUAACAUUUAGCUCUCUUACAUAGAUAAAAAUUUAUUUGCCUACAGCUGGUCUGCUGCAGUGCUUUGGACCUAUUUGCUUCUCAGAGAAGAGUUGGCUUUUCAUGGUCUCUAGGUACCAUGGGGCAAUAAAUAGAAAGUCAGUGCAAGGGAAAUGUUCACACUUUUGCAGGCACAACAUUCCACUGCCUCCUCGCUGAGCUCUUCAGUCUGCCUAACCAGCAUGCUCCUGUUGUCCAAGACCCGUCUCCUUUAUUUGUAUCACACCCCUGUCUGGCUGGUCAGUGAAUCCUAAUAAUAAUCGUGUUUCAUGUCUCAGAAAUCUAAUAAUCAAGUUACUCAUUCGUAUAAAUUGCAACUAAGCUGUUUGGGUUCGUUGUUCUAUCCCCACUUUAAAGGCAGGGAAACUGAAACAGGAAAAUUAACGCAUUUGCCCGAGGCCACACUUGGAUUUAAGAGUAGGUCCAGCACAGGAACUGAGUUCUGUAUUUAGACCAUGCUUCCUCUUAAAGAUUCUGAAGCACACUGUAGAAAAUGUUUUUAAAGAAAGGAAUGUAGUAUAAACCAUAUUUUUCAUUGACUUUGUAUACUAGUCAAAUCCAAUUCCUUUUUUUUUUUUUUUAAAUAUAUAUUGUGUUUCUUUUUCUAAACACAAGAUUUAUUUGACUUUUGACAAAGCAUGGUGGUACCUUUCAGUUGCAGUCAGCUUACUGUGGAAACAAGAAGCAUUUACUAUGAGAUUGUGAGCAGUAAUGGGAACAGAAUUGCUUGUUGUUAGGUUAUUGUAAACAAUAUCCAUUGGAUGUUACGGUGUAGUUGUAGGCCAGCACAACAUAAUGAGAAGUUCAGCAUUAGUAUAGAUAAGGUGCUCUUGCUUACCUGGUAUGCAUCAGUUUCCACUGUAAUUCUCCUUCAGUGCUUUCAGCAGCAAAAUACUUAGUGUGGCUUUAAGCACUGAAAAACAUGUGGGACAACCAUAUACCAUGAAAGUUAUGAUUUAUAUCAUUAAGCAGUGAGUUUUGCAGAGUUGUGUCACUCAUGUCAAUGAAGCAAGAAGUAUUCUGCCGGCCCUUUAGCUGUGGCAUGUCAUCAAAGCUAUAUUAUGGUAUGACUGAGCGCAGAUGGCAUGUCUAAAAAGCAGGUGUACAAUAUAACUUUCAUAUUACUGACACGUAGAUAUUUCCUCUUCCUCAAUGUCCAUUCCCAGAUGUUUGCUUGCCCAGACUUCUACAGGAACUAUAGAAAGUCCUGCUCAUCCCUCAUGUCUGGAUUUGUAUCGUCAAAACCCGUACAGAAUAUGUGCUUACAUAUAUUUGUAUGCAUUUAUGCUGACAGCUCCUUUCUGAGUUUUUUUUCAGGGUCCUGAUUUGAGGAAAGUGGAUGCAGAUCUCACUCAAAUAAUCUUUCUCCAAUACCAUCAACAUUGCCUGCCAAAAAUAAAAGUGGCAUAUGAAUCACAAUAAUUCACUCAUGAUUUGGUGGAUUUAAAGCCUGCGAAGGAGCAUUAGAAAUCCACAUGAUGUUCCUGAGUUUUAUGGACUUCGAGUGGUGGUAAAAGGAUAUUUAGCCAAGGACCUAUCUUAUACGUACUGCAGAUCUAUCACGUAUUCAAGUGAAGGGCAAUAUUAAUGAAACUAUCUCUGUUCAAAUGUUUAUCUUUCAGGUGAGGUGACGAAACUGUUGAAUCUGCAGACUGAAACCAUCGGAAGCCUUUUCUGAGGUGCCCCUUACCGAAAUGUUACUAUGGCAUAAUGAUUUGGAAAUAAGUUUUGUGUGAGAAGAGCUAUCAGAUCCCCUGGGAAACAUUACAGAUACUUUUCAGUUCCUUUCAGACAUCUGGAGCUUGAAAUGGUCAAUAUUAAGAAGAAACACCGCAUAAAUGUGUGUAUAUGUAAGAGUUAUGUUGACCCAUGAUUAAAAGAGAAGGUCGUCUUCUGCCAUUCAUCACAGACUGGCUUCAGUUUCUUCCAGCCAUUCACUGGAGGUGCUUGUUUCUAGGCCCUGAUGCUGCACAGUACCUCAAUCCAUUCAGCUUCUCUUCAAGAUGGUAACUACUUUCCGCUCCACGUAUCUGCUGCGGAAGAUCUUGUGAUUACCUGAAAAAGUGAAUUGCAUCCUGUAGAUUUCCCCUUAAAACUUUUGCUUCACAGAAAAGUUCAGCUUGUGACAGAUGCGUCAGUGAUGUGAGACUCACUUCUCUGUUGCCUAAUUGCCCUCUCCACCUUCUGUCAAUCUGAAACUUUCAUUUUGGAAAGGAUUGAAGGAGUUGUAUUAAUAUUUGUGCUAGCCACUAUUUUUCCUGCACAUUUUCUCCUUUCCUUUGGUGUCUGGUUUGUCUUGGCUGCUUCUAAAAAUUCUGUUGCCUCUAGUAAGGGACUGCCAGAUUAAACCAGUACAGAGAAGCCAGGUGACUGUCUACUUUUACAAAUAUAGGUUGUGUAUAAUAAAUUCAGGUUUUACAUCUAUGCAAAUGAAGUCAUCAUAUGAUUCUGACUACAUGCAUUUUUUUAUCAAAUAUGGCAUAUAUUUCACAAAUUAUAUUUAACUUAUACACAUGUUGCUAUUCUGAAUACCUGACUAGGAAUUGCAAAGUGUGCCACCAGAUCUUAGUAAAUGGGCUUAUGGAACAAGAAGAAAUAAGGGAAAAUCACCUCUUUUCCUUGCAUUAUGGACAAGUCCAGUGUAAGGGCUAUUCCUAAUCUAGAUGGCAAUAUAAACACCACAGAGAUGUUCAGAGGUACAUCUUUUUGUUGGGAAUUAAAGAAUUUACAAAUAAUAAAACAAAAUGCCCUAAAAAAAGGAAGUUUUAAAGUAAUGUGUCUUUGGUCUAGUGUUUGUCACAGCUACUUGGUAUGGCCUUCCUCUAAUGUUUCAGUCAUGCAGAAUAAGACAUUAGUCACAGUGUCAAAAUAAGCAUGUUACUUCUGCAAAAAUGUAUUUUCACCUCAGGAAUAUUGUGAAGUGAAAAUAGGAUUUAGCACAAUUCUUCCUUUUGAGUUUUUCUACAGACAGGACAGUUUAGUGAUACACAGAUAGUGUAAAGUUCUAAAUCUUGCAAGAUGAUCCCCAACUGCAGGUAUGACACACCUGGAAGAAUCUGCCAACUGAGUGCUGGCUAGGAUUAAGCUGAAAAGGCAAGAACUCAGUGCUUUCAGUGUUAACUGUCCUCAACAUCUGCUGGUUUGGUUUUUUUUUGUUGUUGUUGGGUUGUUUUUUUUUUGUUUCUUUCUUUCUUUCUUUCUUU
Molecule: long non-coding RNA, 4518 nt
Organism: Centrocercus urophasianus (Greater sage-grouse)
Lineage: Eukaryota; Metazoa; Chordata; Aves; Galliformes; Phasianidae
Exons: 3
Source: RefSeq, a predicted model, not a curated record